UUGGUGCUCUUGGAGAUCUUCUCUUACCUCCCUGUCCGGGACCGGAUCCGCAUCUCCAGGGUCUGUCACCGCUGGAAGAAGGUAGUGGAUGACCGGUGGCUAUGGCGACACGUCGACCUGACGCUCUACACGAUGCGGCCGAAAGUCAUGUGGCACCUCCUGCGCCAGUACAUGGCGUCCCGGCUCCACUUGUUGCGCAUGGGCGGCUACCUGUUUUCUGGCUCUCAGGCCCCACAGCUGUCCCCCGCCUUGAUGCGGGCCCUGGGUCAGAAAUGCUCCAGUCUGAAGCGCCUGUGCCUGCACGUGGCUGACCUGAGCAUGGUGCCUAUCACCAGUCUCCCUAGUACACUGAGGACCCUGGAGCUGCACAGCUGCGAAAUCUCCAUGAUCUGGUUGCAGAAAGAGCAGGACCCCACGGUGCUGCCUCUGCUGGAAUGCAUCGUGCUGGACCGAGUGCCGGCCUUCCGUGAUGAGCAUCUUCAGGGCCUUACCCGCUUCAGAGCCCUGCGCUCGCUGGUGCUGGGCGGCACCUACCGGGUCACUGAGACCGGGCUAGAUGCCAGCCUGCAGGAGCUUAGCUACCUGCAAAGGCUUGAGGUGCUGGGGUGCACCCUGUCAGCUGACAGCACCCUGCUGGCCAUCAGCCGCCACCUUCGAGAUGUGCGCAAGAUUCGGCUGACCGUUGGGGGCCUCUCAGCCCAGGGCCUGGUCUUCCUGGAGGGAAUGCCUGUCCUGGAGAGUUUGUGCUUCCAGGGUCCCCUUAUCACCCCAGAAAUGCCCACACCUGCUCAGAUUGUGUCCUCCUGCCUCACCAUGCCUAAGCUCAGAGUGCUUGAGGUGCAAGGGCUAGGCUGGGAGGGUCAGGAAGCAGAGAAAAUCCUGUGCAAGGGCCUGCCCCACUGCAUAGUUAUUGUUAGGGCUUGUCCCAAAGAAUCCAUGGAUUGGUGA
Mus caroli (Ryukyu mouse) is the source of this 948-nucleotide non-coding RNA. Lineage: Eukaryota; Metazoa; Chordata; Mammalia; Rodentia; Muridae. The record is from RefSeq and is a predicted model, not a curated record.